Long non-coding RNA from Carassius gibelio (silver crucian carp), 1497 nucleotides. RefSeq lists it as uncharacterized. The record is from RefSeq and is a predicted model, not a curated record. Lineage: Eukaryota; Metazoa; Chordata; Actinopteri; Cypriniformes; Cyprinidae. The transcript is spliced from 3 exons.
AAUGAAGUAUUUUAUGCUCUCUUAAGGGACUCACUUGUAUUGUGCAUUAUAUUUGUUAUAAUGCUUACAGAUAGAGAAAUGUCAGAUGCUGUCUCGUGGCCAAACAACCUUGCUUGGAGCCUCUACUGGACCAGCACAAAGGGUGGUGGAAGAACCUCAUGCUGCUGAAACAGCAAAGAAGGCCAUGGAGCAGAGUCAGCCUGACUCCCAGCCUCAUCCCAUGCCCCUGCCCCAGCCCCAGCCUACUGCACCUGUGGAAGCAAGAGUUGCAACACAAUUUUCAAUGGUAAGAAUUACUAUUUAACUUUUUUAAUAAUACCACUUAAGAAUGUGCUCAAUUAAAAUUCAAGAAAGUUCAGAACGUAAGAUGAAGAAAAAAAGAAAAAGCAAGAAUGCUAUGAGAUGCUGGCUGAGACCUACUAAUUGUCACCCCUCUUGUACAGUGGGGGCACCUGUUGUCUGCUGAAUGGUCAGUUUGAAUAUCUCAGAUUUGGUUUAAGUCACAUGGUCAAGGAUAAAUGUAGAAUGUAACCUGUCUGCUUUCUCUCUUGAGACUAGACUCAUGUCCCUCAUGGCAUCUCUCUCAAUACUUCUCAUGUGUUAAAGCUACAUUAUCUUUCUUUCUCAAUCUCAGGUAACAUACCACAUAGACGCUGGCUAUUAUUAACUGUACACAUAUUAACAAUUAUUCCAUCAUGCAAAUACUUUGUAGUAAUUUCAGGAGUCAAUACUGCUAAUAAAUAUGGAUGACACUUCUAUUCAGAAAGAAAUGUUUUUAAAAACCUGCAUUUACUUAAAAUAGUAAUAUUAAUUAAUUCUUCGUAAUUCUUGCUAUUAUAACACAUUCUGUCUUCUCACAUUUUUGAUUUACCAAACCAAGAUUUACUGGCUCUCACAUUGCUGCAGCAAAGCCAAAUCUUAGUGUGGUCAGGAGACCUUCUCAGGUUGAAGACCUACCCAGCGCAGCAGUGUCUUGUGCCUCUAUACCAAGCAGUACUGUCUCUGGUGUGCCAGUGUUCCAGGGUCUGCAAAUGGUUCAGAGACUGUCAGCGGUCCAUAGGAUGCCACUGUUACAGCCUAUUGUGCAGAGCACCAAUUCUCAACCAGCUCCACAAACCAUGCCCAAGAGACCCUACAAGGCAAACACUUGCAGGAAGUGUGGACAAUUCAAAACCAGUGCAACGGGACAUAGCCAGUACAGGGGCAAGGUGUAUAUACUGUCCACAGACUGAGAACAUUACAAAAGAAAAGUGGUUAGAGUAAAUGCGGAGAACCUUCUCCCAAAUAAUGUAUACACUGUAUAUUUUUAUUUAUUGUUGUGUGUAUAUAGUUGUUUAAAUAUAGUUCACUAUUGUUAAUAUUUGUGUCUAACAUUAUUUUAUUUAACUUGAUUUUUUAAUCCUAUUUAACUUUUACUUUUACCUUUUUAAUUUAUUGUUUGAAAACUUCAUUUAAUAUUCAUUACUGUUCUGUUAGCAUAAUUGUAAAAUAAAUAAA